CAUUAGAUGAUCACUUUUAAUUAGCAACUCUUUCAUGCACCUUAUUUUCUGAGACUUUCUCUCGCCAUUUCUUUGAGAACUCUGUGGAUUUUUCCUUCUUUUAUUUCAUAAUCUUAAUUCUCUUCUCCAGAGGCUCUGCCUGUAUCUUUUCUUCCUUCCGUUGCCUUUUGCCCCUCAUCUUCUCCAGAGGCUCCUGCUGUACUUUUUCUUUUCUCUUCCCUCCUUUGUCUUCACGCUUCAUCUUCUCCAGAGGCUCUGACUGUAUCUUUUCUUUCUUCCUUUGCCUUUUGCCCCUCAUCUUCUCCAGAGGCUCCUGCUGUACUUUUUGUUUUCUCUUUCCUACUUUGGCUUCACUCUUCAUCUUCUCCAGAGGCUCUGACUGUAUCUUUUCUUCCCUCCUUUGCCUUUUGCCCCUCAUCUUCUCCAGAGGCUGCUGCUGUACUUUUUCUUUUCUCUUCCCUCUUUUGUCUUCACGCUUCAUCUUCUCCAGAGGCUCCUGCUGUACUUUUUCUUUUCUCUUCCCUCCUUUGUCUUCACGCUUCAUCUUCUCCAGAGGCUCCUGCUGUACUUUUUCUUUUCUCUUCCCUCCUUUGUCUUCACUCUUCAUCUUCUCCAGAGGCUUCUGCUGUACUUUUUCUUUUCUCUUUCCUACUUUGGCUUCACUCUUCAUCUUCUCCAGAGGCUCUGCCUGUAUCUUUUCUUCCUUCCUUUGCCUUUUGCCCCUCAUCUUCUCCAGAG
Oreochromis aureus is the source of this 738-nucleotide long non-coding RNA. NCBI's taxonomy places the organism in Eukaryota, Metazoa, Chordata, Actinopteri, Cichliformes, Cichlidae. The record is from Ensembl.